Molecule: ribosomal RNA, 725 nt
Filed under: uncultured bacterium
Lineage: Bacteria
Description: bacterial SSU rRNA
Rfam family: Bacterial small subunit ribosomal RNA
Source: RNAcentral
AGUUUGAUCCUGGCUCAGAGUGAACGCUGGCGGUAGGCCUAACACAUGCAAGUCGAACGGCAGCACAGGAGAACUUGCUCUCUGGGUGGCGAGUGGCGGACGGGUGAGGAAUACAUCGGAAUCUACUCUGUCGCGGUGGAUAACGUAGGGAAACUUACGCUAAUACCGCAUACGACCUACGGGUGAAAGCAGGGGACCUUCGGGCCUUGCGCGAUUGAAUGAGCCGAUGUCGGAUUAGCUAGUUGGCGGGGUAAAGGCCCACCAAGGCGACGAUCCGUAGCUGGUCUGAGAGGAUGAUCAGCCACACUGGAACUGAGACACGGUCCAGACUCCUACGGGAGGCAGCAGUGGGGAAUAUUGGACAAUGGGCGCAAACCUGAUCCAGCCAUACCGCGUGGGUGAAGAAGGCCUUCGGGUUGUAAAGCCCUUUUGUUGGGAAAGAAAUCCAGCUGGCUAAUACCCGGUUGGGAUGACGGUACCCAAAGAAUAAGCACCGGCUAACUUCGUGCCAGCAGCCGCGGUAAUACGAAGGGUGCAAGCGUUACUCGGAAUUACUGGGCGUAAAGCGUGCGUAGGUGGUCGUUUAAGUCCGUUGUGAAAGCCCUGGGCUCAACCUGGGAACUGCAGUGGAUACUGGGCGACUAGAAUGUGGUAGAGGGUAGCGGAAUUCCUGGUGUAGCAGUGAAAUGCGUAGAGAUCAGGAGGAACAUCCAUGGCGAAGGCAG